UCCGGACCGAACCGAUCCGGAUUAAGGGGCCGGAGGCGGGUCCUGGGCACCAGCGGUUCCGACCCACCCCGGCCCUCCGCGCCGCACCCGAGUGGCCCCCAGCCGAGCGGGCCCCCACCUCCUGGCCCGGCCUGGGCCCUUCUGCGCCUCCCUUGGCCUUUGUCCAGCGCCAGGAGGCCGGUCCCGCGCCCGCGUCGGGCGCCUGGCUCUGUACGCGAGCCCGGGGAUCUGCGGCCUUCGUGCCCCCCCUCCCCCGCCCGCCCUUUCGUGGAGCCCGGCGCAGGCGGCUGCUGCCCGGGCGGGGGGUUGCGGCGCUCAGGGGAGGCCCCGGCUCCGCCCCGGGCCUGCCCAGGGGGAGAGCGGAGCGGCCCGCAGCCGGGUCGGGUCGGGGCCCCUCCCGGGAGGAGCGUGGAGCGGCGGCGGCGGCAGUAGAAAUAAUGGAAGAAUUGCAUAGCCUGGACCCACGACGGCAGGAAUUAUUAGAGGCCAGGUUUACUGGAGUAGGUGUUAGUAAGGUGAGUAAAAUGAUGAUAAUGAACACUAUUCAUAUUCUAG
RNAcentral lists this long non-coding RNA (555 nucleotides) under Homo sapiens (human). RNAcentral's name for it is "non-protein coding lnc-METTL2B-3:1". Lineage: Eukaryota; Metazoa; Chordata; Mammalia; Primates; Hominidae. The record is from RNAcentral.